RNAcentral lists this ribosomal RNA (465 nucleotides) under Vreelandella stevensii. Its description in RNAcentral is "partial 16S ribosomal RNA". It matches the Rfam family "Bacterial small subunit ribosomal RNA", at positions 338 to 795 of the family's 1533-position model. The record is from RNAcentral. Lineage: Bacteria; Pseudomonadati; Pseudomonadota; Gammaproteobacteria; Oceanospirillales; Halomonadaceae.
CCUACGGGCGGCUGCAGUGGGGAAUAUUGGACAAUGGGGGCAACCCUGAUCCAGCCAUGCCGCGUGUGUGAAGAAGGCCCUCGGGUUGUAAAGCACUUUCAGUGAGGAAGAACGCCUGGUGGUUAAUACCCAUCAGGAAAGACAUCACUCACAGAAGAAGCACCGGCUAACUCCGUGCCAGCAGCCGCGGUAAUACGGAGGGUGCGAGCGUUAAUCGGAAUUACUGGGCGUAAAGCGCGCGUAGGUGGCUUGAUAAGCCGGUUGUGAAAGCCCCGGGCUCAACCUGGGAACGGCAUCCGGAACUGUCAAGCUAGAGUGCAGGAGAGGAAGGUAGAAUUCCCAGUGUAGCGGUGAAAUGCGUAGAGAUCGGGAGGAAUACCAGUGGCGAAGGCGGCCUUCUGGACUGACACUGACACUGAGGUGCGAAAGCGUGGGUAGCAAACAGGAUUAGAUACCCCUGUAGUC